Long non-coding RNA from Dioscorea cayenensis subsp. rotundata (Guinea yam), 1378 nucleotides. RefSeq lists it as uncharacterized. Lineage: Eukaryota; Viridiplantae; Streptophyta; Magnoliopsida; Dioscoreales; Dioscoreaceae. The transcript has 3 exons. The record is from RefSeq and is a predicted model, not a curated record.
CAGACGCCUCUUACCUCCAUUGCUCACCGCUUCUUCGCCCAUUGUUCACCAUCUCUUCAUCGUCGUGGCUUGCAGCCGGCGUAAGGGCACGUGUUCAACUCUAGGCCUAUAAAACCCUAAGCCGGUAACCGUCGCGAACUCUCACGCGUCGAGUUCUCUCGAUUUUCAUUGGGUUCCAUUGAAGACCGACGCGAAGGUUUUUCACUAGUGUUUGUUUUUCUGGCAUUUUGAGGUCACCUCCACCUUUGCCAGAGCUACACUGAUCAGAACAAGUUUUAAAUGAAGCUGCAAUGCUUGUGUCUUUUUGUGUGAAUAUGUUACUUUCAUCUUGUUAGCUUUUCUACAGAGUAGCUGCAUGCUUAUGGCUUGUGUCUCUUGUUGGUGGCUUUGCUAAUUACCUGACUCAGGGAUACAGCACUUGGUGCUGGUCAGAUUAGCCAUUUUACCACAAGAUAUUCUGAUGUACUUAUAGUCACUUGAGUUAUGGUGGGCUUUUGCAAGAUCGAGUGAAAAACCAGCUUGAGUUAGAACAUUGUAUUGUUUUAUAUUUAUAGUUUUAUUUCACUAAUGACAGAAACUUGAUGUUUUCCUUUUUCCAGCAAAGAGAAAGCUCUAAAGUCUACUAAUUUUUUGUGGUUUUAUUGGAUUUUUGUUGAUCUUUUGGAUAGAAAUUAGUAGUAAUUUGAGGUUGAGUUUCAGAUUCUUGAUGGUUAGUUCUAUGGCUUUUGUUCUGAUUUUCUGUGUUUUUAUUGGAUUUCUGUUGAUCUUUUACUUUUCAAUUCUAAACUGGAAGGUUAAGUGCUUUAUUGAAAAUGAUCUUGUGGACCAGUAAGGCAGUAAAAUAAAUAUGAUACAAGUAGUUUUUUGUCAUCUUCUUCAUAUGGUACAUUGGUUGUUAACUUCACCAUGGUUGGGUAGCUUGUUUACUCUUCUCUUGUUCUAGUUGAAUUUUGUUAAAUAGAUGAACAUAACAUCCAUCUAGGCCACGUUAAAUGUAUCUUUCAUAGGCAUUAAUUUCUCCAAUAAUGUAGUACAUGAGUUAUACAGCAUGUAUCCCCUUACUCUUGACUUAAUAGCUAUGAUAAACACUCAUAUUGAUAUAGGUUUUCUGAUAAUAUAUAACCAACCUUUUCCUUAUAUUGGGAAAGGGGGCUAGGGUGGUGCCAUUACACUUGAUCAGGUGCUUUCCUAAACUCACUUUAUCUCAACCUCGUUUUAAAUAAAUUUUUAGCGUGUCUUUCUCGAAUGUUGAUAGAUAUCUGUUGCAAUUAGAAACAGUUGAAUUAGAAACAGUAAUUUAGCAACGGACUGUUUCUGUUGCAAUUUAAUAACCGAUUAGCAACGGAUUAGACUGUCCGUUACAAUGUUACAAACAAAA